RNAcentral lists this ribosomal RNA (253 nucleotides) under uncultured bacterium. RNAcentral describes it as "partial 16S ribosomal RNA". It matches the Rfam family "Bacterial small subunit ribosomal RNA", at positions 524 to 776 of the family's 1533-position model. The record is from RNAcentral.
UACGUAGGGUGCAAGCGUUAAUCGGAAUUACUGGGCGUAAAGCGUGCGCAGGCGGUUAUGCAAGACAGAUGUGAAAUCCCCGGGCUUAACCUGGGAACCGCAUUUGUGACUGCAUAGCUGGAGUACGGCAGAGGGGGAUGGAAUUCCGCGUGUAGCAGUGAAAUGCGUAGAUAUGCGGAGGAACACCGAUGGCGAAGGCAGUCCCCUGGGCCUGUACUGACGCUCAUGCACGAAAGCUAGGGGAGCGAAAGGG